Oryza glaberrima (African rice) is the source of this 103-nucleotide non-coding RNA. Lineage: Eukaryota; Viridiplantae; Streptophyta; Magnoliopsida; Poales; Poaceae. The record is from Rfam.
GUCUCUUCCGAGACAUCCGAUAAAAUUGGAACGAUACAGAGAAGAUUAGCAUGGCCCCUGCACAACGAUAACACGCACAAAUCGAGAAAUGGUCUAAAUUUUU